This 484-nucleotide ribosomal RNA is filed under the name uncultured bacterium. RNAcentral's name for it is "partial 16S ribosomal RNA". It matches the Rfam family "Bacterial small subunit ribosomal RNA", at positions 28 to 507 of the family's 1533-position model. The record is from RNAcentral.
AUUGAACGCUGGCGGCAUGCUUUACACAUGCAAGUCGAACGGCAGCGCGGGCUUCGGCCUGGCGGCGAGUGGCGAACGGGUGAGUAAUGCAUCGGAACGUGCCCAGUAGUGGGGGAUAGCCCGGCGAAAGCCGGAUUAAUACCGCAUACGACCUGAGGGUGAAAGCGGGGGACCGAGAGGCCUCGCGCUAUUGGAGCGGCCGAUGGCGGAUUAGCUAGUUGGUGGGGUAAAGGCUUACCAAGGCGACGAUCCGUAGCUGGUCUGAGAGGACGACCAGCCACACUGGAACUGAGACACGGCCCAGACUCCUACGGGAGGCAGCAGUGGGGAAUUUUGGACAAUGGGGGCAACCCUGAUCCAGCCAUGCCGCGUGCGGGAAGAAGGCCUUCGGGUUGUAAACCGCUUUUGUUCGGGAAGAAAUCCUCUGGGCUAAUACCCCGGGGGGAUGACGGUACCGGAAGAAUAAGCACCGGCUAACUACGUG